UAGAUGAUGUCGAGUGGCGGACGGGUGAGUAAUGCUUGGGAACUUGCCUUUGCGAGGGGGAUAACAGUUGGAAACGACUGCUAAUACCGCAUAAUGUCUUCGGACCAAACGGGGCUUCGGCUCCGGCGCAAAGAGAGGCCCAAGUGAGAUUAGCUAGUUGGUGAGGUAAAGGCUCACCAAGGCAACGAUCUCUAGCUGUUCUGAGAGGAAGAUCAGCCACACUGGGACUGAGACACGGCCCAGACUCCUACGGGAGGCAGCAGUGGGGAAUAUUGCACAAUGGGGGAAACCCUGAUGCAGCCAUGCCGCGUGUGUGAAGAAGGCCUUCGGGUUGUAAAGCACUUUCAGUUGUGAGGAAAAGUUAGUAGUUAAUACCUGCUAGCCGUGACGUUAACAACAGAAGAAGCACCGGCUAACUCCGUGCCAGCAGCCGCGGUAAUACGGAGGGUGCGAGCGUUAAUCGGAAUUACUGGGCGUAAAGCGCACGCAGGCGGUUUGUUAAGCUAGAUGUGAAAGCCCCGGGCUCAACCUGGGACGGUCAUUUAGAACUGGCAGACUAGAGUCUUGGAGAGGGGAGUGGAAUUCCAGGUGUAGCGGUGAAAUGCGUAGAUAUCUGGAGGAACAUCAGUGGCGAAGGCGACUCCCUGGCCAAAGACUGACGCUCAUGUGCGAAAGUGUGGGUAGCGAACAGGAUUAGAUACCCUGGU
This 707-nucleotide ribosomal RNA is filed under the name Alteromonas stellipolaris. Its description in RNAcentral is "bacterial SSU rRNA". It matches the Rfam family "Bacterial small subunit ribosomal RNA", at positions 81 to 791 of the family's 1533-position model. Lineage: Bacteria; Pseudomonadati; Pseudomonadota; Gammaproteobacteria; Alteromonadales; Alteromonadaceae. The record is from RNAcentral.